Molecule: ribosomal RNA, 1087 nt
Filed under: Pseudomonas sp. DENB20
Lineage: Bacteria; Pseudomonadati; Pseudomonadota; Gammaproteobacteria; Pseudomonadales; Pseudomonadaceae
Description: bacterial SSU rRNA
Rfam family: Bacterial small subunit ribosomal RNA
Source: RNAcentral
UUCUCACGGCAGGCCUACACAUGCAAGUCGAGCGGUAGAGAGAAGCUUGCUUCUCUUGAGAGCGGCGGACGGGUGAGUAAUGCCUAGGAAUCUGCCUGGUAGUGGGGGAUAACGUUCGGAAACGGACGCUAAUACCGCAUACGUCCUACGGGAGAAAGCAGGGGACCUUCGGGCCUUGCGCUAUCAGAUGAGCCUAGGUCGGAUUAGCUAGUUGGUGGGGUAAUGGCUCACCAAGGCGACGAUCCGUAACUGGUCUGAGAGGAUGAUCAGUCACACUGGAACUGAGACACGGUCCAGACUCCUACGGGAGGCAGCAGUGGGGAAUAUUGGACAAUGGGCGAAAGCCUGAUCCAGCCAUGCCGCGUGUGUGAAGAAGGUCUUCGGAUUGUAAAGCACUUUAAGUUGGGAGGAAGGGCAGUUACCUAAUACGUAAUUGUUUUGACGUUACCGACAGAAUAAGCACCGGCUAACUCUGUGCCAGCAGCCGCGGUAAUACAGAGGGUGCAAGCGUUAAUCGGAAUUACUGGGCGUAAAGCGCGCGUAGGUGGUUUGUUAAGUUGGAUGUGAAAUCCCCGGGCUCAACCUGGGAACUGCAUUCAAAACUGACUGACUAGAGUAUGGUAGAGGGUGGUGGAAUUUCCUGUGUAGCGGUGAAAUGCGUAGAUAUAGGAAGGAACACCAGUGGCGAAGGCGACCACCUGGACUAAUACUGACACUGAGGUGCGAAAGCGUGGGGAGCAAACAGGAUUAGAUACCCUGGUAGUCCACGCCGUAAACGAUGUCAACUAGCCGUUGGAAGCCUUGAGCUUUUAGUGGCGCAGCUAACGCAUUAAGUUGACCGCCUGGGGAGUACGGCCGCAAGGUUAAAACUCAAAUGAAUUGACGGGGCCCGCACAAGCGGUGGAGCAUGUGGUUUAAUUCUAAGCACGCGAAACCUUACCAGGCCUUGACAUCCAAUGAACUUUCUAGAGAUAGAUGGUGCCUUCGGGAACAUUGAGACAGGUGCUGCAUGCCUGUCGUCAGCUCGUGUCGUGACAUGUGGAUUAGUCCCGUAACGAGCGCCACCCCUUGUCCUUAUUACCACGCG